AAUUUACUGGGAUGUACGAUUACUUGUUAUUUUGAACCUACAACUUUAAAUUGGGAGGCGCAUAAGCGAUGAAUGAUGUCAGGCCACAAGCUAAUUCCCUUUGGGCAGUGGAAGGCAAAUAUUUCUGACUGAGUCACCCACCUAGCAUAGCUAGGGCGUCAAAAUUGCAGGGACGGCAUUCUGGGAAUUUU
The sequence is a non-coding RNA, 191 nucleotides long. It matches the Rfam family "6S / SsrS RNA". Rfam says of the family: E. coli 6S RNA was the first non coding RNA to be sequenced, but its function was unknown until recently.